This 377-nucleotide ribosomal RNA is filed under the name uncultured bacterium. RNAcentral describes it as "bacterial SSU rRNA". It matches the Rfam family "Bacterial small subunit ribosomal RNA", at positions 30 to 410 of the family's 1533-position model. The record is from RNAcentral.
AUUGAACGCUGGCGGAAUGCUUUACACAUGCAAGUCGAACGGCAGCACGGGGCAACCUGGUGGCGAGUGGCGAACGGGUGAGUAAUACAUCGGAACGUGCCCAAUCGUGGGGAUAACGUAGCGAAAGUUACGCUAAUACUGCAUACGAUCUACGGAUGAAAGCGGGGGAUCGCAAGACCUCGCGCGAGUGGAGCGGCCGAUGUCAGAUUAGGUAGUUGGUGGGGUAAAGGCUCACCAAGCCAACGAUCUGUAGCUGGUCUGAGAGGACGACCAGCCACACUGGAACUGAGACACGGUCCAGACUCCUACGGGAGGCAGCAGUGGGGAAUUUUGGACAAUGGGCGCAAGCCUGAUCCAGCCAUUCCGCGUGCAGGAUG